This 273-nucleotide ribosomal RNA is filed under the name uncultured bacterium. Its description in RNAcentral is "partial 16S ribosomal RNA". It matches the Rfam family "Bacterial small subunit ribosomal RNA", at positions 524 to 796 of the family's 1533-position model. The record is from RNAcentral.
UACGGAGGGGGCAAGCGUUGUUCGGAAUUACUGGGCGUAAAGGGCGCGUAGGCGGAACAUUAAGUUAGGGGUGAAAGGCCCGGGCUCAACCUGGGAACGGCCUCUAAGACUGAUGAUCUGGAGUCCGGAAGAGGAUGGCGGAAUUCCCAGUGUAGAGGUGAAAUUCGUAGAUAUUGGGAAGAACACCGGUGGCGAAGGCGGCCAUCUGGUCCGGCACUGACGCUGAGGCGCGAAAGCGUGGGGAGCAAACAGGAUUAGAAACCCCCGUAGUCC